RNAcentral lists this ribosomal RNA (183 nucleotides) under uncultured bacterium. RNAcentral describes it as "partial 16S ribosomal RNA". It matches the Rfam family "Bacterial small subunit ribosomal RNA", at positions 173 to 353 of the family's 1533-position model. The record is from RNAcentral.
AUAAGAUGUAGUAUCGCAUGAUAUAGCAAUUAAAGGAGCAAUUCGCUAUAAGAUGGACCCGCGUCGCAUUAGCUAGUUGGUGAGGUAAUGGCUCACCAAGGCGACGAUGCGUAGCCGACCUGAGAGGGUGAUCGGCCACAUUGGGACUGAGACACGGCCCAGACUCCUACGGGAGGCAGCAUG